RNAcentral lists this ribosomal RNA (371 nucleotides) under uncultured organism. RNAcentral describes it as "bacterial SSU rRNA". It matches the Rfam family "Bacterial small subunit ribosomal RNA", at positions 526 to 896 of the family's 1533-position model. The record is from RNAcentral.
CAGAGACUGCGAGCGUUAUUCGGAUUCACUGGGCGUAAAGGGUGCGCAGGCGGCCAAGUGUGUGAGGCGUGAAAGCCCGGGGCUUAACCCCGGAAUUGCACCUCAAACUACAUGGCUAGAGCAUUGGAGAGGGUAGCAGAAUUCAUGGUGUAGCAGUGAAAUGCGUAGAUAUCAUGAGGAAUACCAGAGGCGAAGGCGGCUACCUGGACAAUUGCUGACGCUCAGGCACGAAAGCGUGGGGAGCAAAAGGGAUUAGAUACCCCUGUAGUCCACGCCCUAAACGGUGCACACUAGGUCUUGGCGGAUUCGACCCACCAGGGCCCAAGCUAACGCGUUAAGUGUGCCGCCUGAGGACUACGGCCGCAAGGCUA